This 784-nucleotide ribosomal RNA is filed under the name Escherichia coli. RNAcentral's name for it is "partial 23S ribosomal RNA". It matches the Rfam family "Bacterial large subunit ribosomal RNA", at positions 2137 to 2915 of the family's 2925-position model. The record is from RNAcentral. Lineage: Bacteria; Pseudomonadati; Pseudomonadota; Gammaproteobacteria; Enterobacterales; Enterobacteriaceae.
UGUAGGAUAGGUGGGAGGCUUUGAAGUGUGGACGCCAGUCUGCAUGGAGCCGACCUUGAAAUACCACCCUUUAAUGUUUGAUGUUCUAACGUUGACCCGUGAUCCGGGUUGCGGACAGUGUCUGGUGGGUAGUUUGACUGGGGCGGUCUCCUCCUAAAGAGUAACGGAGGAGCACGAAGGUUGGCUAAUCCUGGUCGGACAUCAGGAGGUUAGUGCAAUGGCAUAAGCCAGCUUGACUGCGAGCGUGACGGCGCGAGCAGGUGCGAAAGCAGGUCAUAGUGAUCCGGUGGUUCUGAAUGGAAGGGCCAUCGCUCAACGGAUAAAAGGUACUCCGGGGAUAACAGGCUGAUACCGCCCAAGAGUUCAUAUCGACGGCGGUGUUUGGCACCUCGAUGUCGGCUCAUCACAUCCUGGGGCUGAAGUAGGUCCCAAGGGUAUGGCUGUUCGCCAUUUAAAGUGGUACGCGAGCUGGGUUUAGAACGUCGUGAGACAGUUCGGUCCCUAUCUGCCGUGGGCGCUGGAGAACUGAGGGGGGCUGCUCCUAGUACGAGAGGACCGGAGUGGACGCAUCACUGGUGUUCGGGUUGUCAUGCCAAUGGCACUGCCCGGUAGCUAAAUGCGGAAGAGAUAAGUGCUGAAAGCAUCUAAGCACGAAACUUGCCCCGAGAUGAGUUCUCCCUGACUCCUUGAGAGUCCUGAAGGAACGUUGAAGACGACGACGUUGAUAGGCCGGGUGUGUAAGCGCAGCGAUGCGUUGAGCUAACCGGUACUAAUGAACCGUGAG